UACGUAGGGUGCGAGCGUUGUCCGGAAUUAUUGGGCGUAAAGAGCUCGUAGGUGGUCUGUCACGUCGGAUGUGAAAACUCGGGGCUCAACCCCGAGCCUGCAUUCGAUACGGGCAGACUAGAGUUCGGUAGGGGAGACUGGAAUUCCUGGUGUAGCGGUGAAAUGCGCAGAUAUCAGGAGGAACACCGGUGGCGAAGGCGGGUCUCUGGGCCGAUACUGACACUGAGGAGCGAAAGCGUGGGGAG
RNAcentral lists this ribosomal RNA (245 nucleotides) under uncultured Streptomyces sp. RNAcentral's name for it is "partial 16S ribosomal RNA". It matches the Rfam family "Bacterial small subunit ribosomal RNA", at positions 524 to 768 of the family's 1533-position model. Lineage: Bacteria; Bacillati; Actinomycetota; Actinomycetes; Kitasatosporales; Streptomycetaceae. The record is from RNAcentral.